CUCUCUUCGGCGGUAGGUAUACUAAAAUUGGAACGAUACAGAAAAGAUUAGCAUAACCCCUGCGCAAAUACGACGCGAAAAUUCGUGAAGUGAUCCAUAUUUUU
Molecule: small nuclear RNA, 104 nt
Organism: Schistocerca gregaria
Lineage: Eukaryota; Metazoa; Arthropoda; Insecta; Orthoptera; Acrididae
Source: RefSeq, a predicted model, not a curated record